GCCAGUUUGGGGGAAUGGUUUGAGUGUUAGACUAUGAAUCUGGAGACCAGGGUUCGAAUCCCUGGCUUGAGA
Molecule: non-coding RNA, 72 nt
Organism: Phrynosoma platyrhinos (Desert horned lizard)
Lineage: Eukaryota; Metazoa; Chordata; Lepidosauria; Squamata; Phrynosomatidae
Source: the annotation of a GenBank genome assembly